Molecule: non-coding RNA, 496 nt
Filed under: Pongo abelii (Sumatran orangutan)
Lineage: Eukaryota; Metazoa; Chordata; Mammalia; Primates; Hominidae
Source: RNAcentral
UAACAAUCUAGAGCACCACGGAGUGAGUUUCCAGGUCGGCAUAAAAGCGAACGGGACAGGGCGCCCCGGGCUGCGGCAGCUUGGCCGGCCCGCUGCCUGGCGCGCCCCCGAGGGGCGGUAAUGGAACGUGCCUUUGGCUGAAGAAAGAGUGCUCCCGGCCAGCGCAGGGUCGCCUAGGGGGUUCCGCGUUGCCAAAUGCAAAGGAUGAAACAGUUACACAAGCAGAGACGGGGUUUCACCAUGUUGCCCAGGCUGGUCUCGAACUCCUGGACUCAAGUGAUCGGCCCUCCUCGGCCUCCCAAAGUCCUGGGGUUAAAAGCGUGAGCCACCAUGCUCAGUCGGCGGGGGAUUAUCUGUGAUCCAGUGAAGCUGGACUAGAGAUGUGAAGCCUUAGAAAACGGUGGCUUGAAAAAAGAAUUUUAGUCUCCUCCAGAGAUUAUAUUUUGUGUGUUCAUUGCUCUCAAAAACAUGAAAAUAAAGAGUAUUUUAUAUUGUG